CCCUUAGAUGUUCUGGGCCGCACGCGCGCUACACUGACGAAGUCAGCGAGCAUGUCCUACGCCGACAGGUGCGGGGAAUCUUGUCAAACUUCGUCGUGAUGGGGAUUGAUUAUUGAAAUUCUUGAUCAUCAACGAGGAAUUCCUAGUAAGCGCAAGUCAGCAGCUUGCGUUGAUUACGUCCCUGCCCUUUGUACACACCGCCCGUCGCACCAAUCGAUUGAGGUAUCUGGUGAAAAUGCAGGAAACCUCUGUGGCAUGCUUCAUUGCAAGCCGUAGAAGAUGAGUGCAUUUAAACCAGGCGCCUUAGAGAAUGGUGAAGUCGUAACA
This 327-nucleotide ribosomal RNA is filed under the name uncultured eukaryote. RNAcentral's name for it is "partial 18S ribosomal RNA". It matches the Rfam family "Eukaryotic small subunit ribosomal RNA", at positions 1470 to 1796 of the family's 1831-position model. The record is from RNAcentral.